AGCAGCCGCGGUAAUUCCAGCUCCAAUAGCGUAUAUUAAAGUUGUUGCAGUUAAAAAGCUCGUAGUUGAAUUUCGGGGUCAAUAAGUUGGUCGUGCCAAUGGUAUGCACUGGCUUUAUUGAUUCCUACCUCUUGACGAACUGUGAUGCCAUUAAUUUGGUGUCGCAAGGAAUCAGGACUGUUACCUUGAAAAAAUUAGAGUGUUUAAAGCAGGCUUACGCUUGAAUACAUUAGCAUGGAGUAAUGAAAUAGGACGUUUGAACCUAUUUUGUUGGUUUUUAGGAUCGACGUAAUGAUUAAUAGGGAUAGUUGGGGGCAUUAGUAUUCAAUUGUCAGAGGUGAAAUUCUUGGAUUUAUUGAAGACUAACUACUGCGAAAGCAUUUGCCAAGGAUGUUUUCAUUAAUCAAGAACGAAAGUUAGGGGAUCGAAGACGAUCAGAUACCGUCGUAGUCUUAACCAUAAACUAUGCCGACUAGGGAUCGGAUGAUGUUAAUUUUUUAAUGACUCAUUCGGCGCCUUA
Molecule: ribosomal RNA, 520 nt
Filed under: uncultured Glomus
Lineage: Eukaryota; Fungi; Glomeromycota; Glomeromycetes; Glomerales; Glomeraceae
Description: SSU rRNA
Rfam family: Eukaryotic small subunit ribosomal RNA
Source: RNAcentral